RNAcentral lists this ribosomal RNA (914 nucleotides) under uncultured crenarchaeote. RNAcentral's name for it is "bacterial SSU rRNA". It matches the Rfam family "Archaeal small subunit ribosomal RNA", at positions 1 to 922 of the family's 1478-position model. Lineage: Archaea; Thermoproteati; Thermoproteota. The record is from RNAcentral.
UUCCGGUUGAUCCUGCCGGACCUGACUGCUAUCGGAUUGAUACUAAGCCAUGCGAGUCAUUGUAGCAAUACAAGGCAGACGGCUCAGUAACGCGUAGUCAACCUACCCUAUGGACGGGAAUAACCUCGGGAAACUGAGUAUAAUGCCCGAUAGAACACUAUACCUGGAAUGGUUUGUGUUUCAAAUGAUUUAUUGCCGUAGGAUGGGACUGCGGCCUAUCAGUUUGUUGGUGAGGUAAUGGCGCACCAAGACUAUUACAGGUACGGGCUCUGAGAGGAGUGGCCCGGAGAUGGGUACUGAGACACGGACCCAGGCCCUAUGGGGCGCAGCAGGCGAGAAAACUUUGCAAUGUGCGAAAGCACGACAAGGUUAAUCCGAGUGGUUUCUGCUAAAGGAACCUUUUGACAGUCCUAGAAACACUGUUGAAUAAGGGGUGGGCAAGUUCUGGUGUCAGCCGCCGCGGUAAAACCAGCACCUCAAGUGGUCAGGAUGAUUAUUGGGCCUAAAGCAUCCGUAGCCGGCUCAGUAAGUUUUCGGUUAAAUCUGUACGCUCAACGUACAGGCUGCCGGGAAUACUGCAGAGCUAGGGAGUGGGAGAGGUAGACGGUACUCGGGAGGAAGUGGUAAAAUGCUUUGAUCUUUCGAUGACCACCUGUGGCGAAGGCGGUCUACCAGAACACGUCCGACGGUGAGGGAUGAAAGCUGGGGGAGCAAACCGGAUUAGAUACCCGGGUAGUCCCAGCUGUAAACUAUGCAAACUCAGUGAUGCAUUGGCUUGUGGCCAAUGCAGUGUUGCAGGGAAGCCGUUAAGUUUGCCGCCUGGGAAGUACGUACGCAAGUAUGAAACUUAAAGGAAUUGGCGGGGGAGCACCACAAGGGGUGAAGCCUGCGGUUCAAUUGGAUUCAACGCCGGA